CUCUUCUCAGGCUUGAGUGCACAGUCUUCCCUGCUAAGCCUUCAAAGCCUUGGUCACAUCCACUGACUGGAGAGAAAGACUGGGGGCCCAGAGAAGUGUUCUCUCUUGCUACUGACAUGGCUACAGCUGCUGCCUGCCUGCCAGUUGUGGAGCAGCUGGCCUGGUGACAGAAGGGUGGAAUGGCCUCUCGAAACAGUUACAGCACCAAUUAGGUGAUGGUAGCUUUGCUGGGAGUCAAGAUGUACUUUGAAUCAGCAUCCAGUAUAUGAGGCAGCAGUGACCUGAAACACGUUCUUUUCAUGUCCAAGAACAGGAUUAAAAAGGCCACACAAGACCACAUUUAAAUUCUCUGCAUGCAGUCUACAUGUCUGAUGUCAACAGUGUCAGCUGCUUUCCUGUGCCAGGGAGUGGGACAUAGGGAUGCCAAGGAAGUGCUCCCACAAGAUGCAUGUGGCAAUUAUGCCAUCAGCCCCUGCUUCUAUCCUGCACUUGGUGGUGUUUCUCUCCAAAAGAAAAUGAAUCAAAUUACAGGGAAGGCUCCUGCCCCACUUUGCACUGUGAUCUGUGCCACAGCAGUAAUUAAAUAUCUAAUUGCCAAUGUUACAGAGUAAA
Mastomys coucha (southern multimammate mouse) is the source of this 612-nucleotide long non-coding RNA. RefSeq lists it as uncharacterized. NCBI's taxonomy places the organism in Eukaryota, Metazoa, Chordata, Mammalia, Rodentia, Muridae. The transcript is spliced from 4 exons. The record is from RefSeq and is a predicted model, not a curated record.